This 62-nucleotide transfer RNA is filed under the name Lineus viridis. RNAcentral describes it as "tRNA-Cys". Lineage: Eukaryota; Metazoa; Nemertea; Pilidiophora; Heteronemertea; Lineidae. The record is from RNAcentral.
GGCUCCAUAGUUGAAACACAACAUUAAAUUGCAGCUUUAAAGGUAUAAUUUUAUUGGGGCUU